This is a long non-coding RNA of Alligator mississippiensis (American alligator), 1011 nucleotides long. RefSeq lists it as uncharacterized. Lineage: Eukaryota; Metazoa; Chordata; Crocodylia; Alligatoridae. The transcript is spliced from 3 exons. The record is from RefSeq and is a predicted model, not a curated record.
CUAACUUUUCUCCCAUGACAAAAAUAAAGUGGUUGUGCUGAAAGACUGUAGUGUCUGUUGUGAGCAGAAGGGGUCAUUUAAGAUCAAAAGAGAAUCAAGGUGCGUGUGUGUGAACCAGGUGACUCAGGUGUACAGAUACCUGUCAUCGGCUCCUCUAUGUAGUAAAGAGCAGAGAAAGCAAUGGAGUUUACAGUCUAAGGGACUAAGCCACAUGACAACUCAAAGAUCGUAAGGCCAGAAGGGACCUCAGAAGAUCGCCGGGUGCAGCCCCCUGCACCAAGCAGGAAAGAUAACUGGGGGUCAGGAGACCCCAGCAAGCAUUGGAAUGAGAAAUGGUGGUCAUCUACAACCAAACUGAUUGCCGGGCUUCACCAGACCAGGCUGAAAACCAAACCUACAAGAACUCUCAUGGGACCGUGCCCCUUCGGGAUGCUAAAAUAAAGGUCAACCCAAAAAGUUUGGCAGUACUUUAGAUACAAGUGGCUAAAGAGCACUGGGCACUUUCUUUUCCCUCUGCAACUUCCUUGAACAACUUUGGCACCACUGCAAUAUUUUAUGACUCCAUGCCACUUUGGCUGAGUGUUUGUAACUUUUUUUUCUUGCUUUAAUUCUGAAAAAUCAAAAGACCAGUCUUUGUUUCACUGAACAUUUCAAAACUGUUUUUUCCUCCUACCCUGCAUAUGAAAGUAAUUCCUGCACCUGCCCCCCCUCCCCAAUUUUUAAUUUGCAAACAAACCAAACUCCCCACCCCCACCUUUUUACCCUGAUUUUCUGUGAAAAAUUCUGUUUUUUGCAAAAUUAGCCUUAGGAGUCUUUCUCCAGAAACAUAUUCCCAUCUGCUCUGCUUAUGUUUGCUCUAUAACCAAGGAACAAAAUUAACUGCAGCUGGAACGUGGACUCCAGUUACUCACACUUUAAACUUUUAAACUGGUAUAAGUAUCUGUUUUUAGGAGACAACUGGAAAAAAAAAUGUCUAUAUGCUCAUCGCACUUGGAUUGUAAGCUUUUUGCU